CCCUCCCUCCUCCUCCCAGGUGCUAUCCAUGCCCCUCCCUCCUCCUCCCAGGUGCCAUCCAUGCCCCUUGUAGCCAGGACACAUCUGCAGCCGCCUUCCUACAGUGACUUCUCCAGAAGAUCACUUUCAUCCUCAGCCCCCAAGGUAUCAACUGUUGAUCAUCAUACACUCCGCCCACGUGAUCCCUCAGGACACACCCCACAUCCUCACAGUGCGAAGCAUAUUUCACACCGUUUCACUUAGACCUUACAAAGACUCCACAUCACAGACUGUGGAAGAGUUGCCCCAUCCCUGAAUAUGUUGAUUCAUUUACCAAAAUCCUCUCUACAGUAAAGCAGAAUAUUGGUGAGGGGAAACCCAUCUCUGAAAGACACCGAGGGCAACUGAUUUCCUCCCCACUUGCUUCAAGGCUUUGAUAACUGGGACCCAUCCACGUUAAACCAUGCCCCAAGUGUAAAAUCUAUCCCAGAUUUUAGAGAAUGAAAAAAUCUCAAUGCUUUUCAGUACUGAUCAUAUUUGCUAAUAGUAGUUUGGCUAUAUGGGGUUAAGAAAAUGUUUAUUUGGGGAGUGGGUCGAAGGUGUGUGUGUGUAUCUUGUGUGUAUCUUGUUGCCUAUGUGUCCUGUAUUUGCACAUGUGUGUGGAGGCCUGAGGUCGACAUCAGGUUUAUUCAAUUGCUCUCCAUUUUAUUUUUCAUCACUGAACUGCCUGGUCUACCUGACAUGGGAAGUCCCUGGGGUCCUUCUGCUUCCAGUUCCCAACUGCUGGGAUUACAGGGACACAAAACCUAACACAGUUCUGCACAGUUGCUCAACUCCUCCUGCGCACAGCUCCAUGCUUGUAGCCAUGACGGACAGUGUCUCCAUCUGCUUCCCUGCCACGCCACACUGCAAAGCCGGGAUGAAACACCUUGAACUUCCAGAAGGGGCACAUGUUCCAGGAACCCUUCCCACUCCUCAAGCACUUAAAAACAAAACACACUGUCUUUUCACAAGAAUGUUUCUGAGAAUGAAGCUCAUUGGGUAACAAAUCCAUGAGAAGUAACCAAGAAGGUGAAGGCAUACGCAAGGCAAAACUUCA
This is a non-coding RNA of Myodes glareolus (Bank vole), 1078 nucleotides long. Lineage: Eukaryota; Metazoa; Chordata; Mammalia; Rodentia; Cricetidae. The record is from RefSeq and is a predicted model, not a curated record.